UUCCCGCUGUUGGCGGAAGUUAUGAGAGGACGCGUUGAAAGGCAAGGCGAAGUAGCAAAAUGUGCAGUGUCAGUGAAGAUUAACUCAUGAUAAUGCGAAAAGUGUUUCGAGAGACACACAUUGAAUGUACUGGAUGAGUAACUUCUCCGUCUAUCACAUACACUUGUCAGAAGAGGGGUAAUGGCGGCGCUUUGCGAGAAGAGCUGAAACACACCGUGCUAAUUCCAGACGCAAAUCACGACGGAGCAGAAGAGGACAACUCGAAUACAGAAGGGAGGGCCCUCUCAUAUGUGACUGCAUACUGAUGGAGAGUCACUGGGAGGUUGGCCACAGUGCAUCUAGCUUUGUGUCCCACCACAACUGUGUAGCAGUGCUUUUGUGACACAGCUUGGAAAAUCAAGUUGGGCCACAAUGUCUUCAGGAUUCUUGUCCCACCUCUGCACAAACUGGACACGCACUACAGUCACAUUCGGCUGGUUGUCAAAUAUCCUCAGGCGCUUUAAUUCUCCUGAUGGAUCAUCAAAAAGCGUAGUGGUUGGCGGGCCGUCCACAUCGAGUGUGGUGGGAAGAUUUCUUCCAUGCAGCAUCCGGAGCGCAGCAUAAAAGUGGAAGAGUGAAGAAAGAUGUUCGUCAACAGGCCUGUAUUGGUGGUGUACUGCAAUGCUAAAAUUGUCCAGUCUUCUCGCCAGUGUAUGACAUCUCUGGAUGACGUGUGGACAUCAACAGAAAUGGUGCCUGGAGAUGGAGAUCGGGUGACCUCCUUGCUCCAGAAAUUUUCAAGACAGACAGACACUGGCUGGUCUCUCGCCAGACAGUUUUUCCGAAGCUUCUGAGUGAGUUGGGCUUCUUGUCCACCCAACACAGCCAUGGCUUUGUGGAAGCCCGGACGGAAUCUUCUUCACAGAAGAUGGCCCUGCACUUUUAGAGAUCAAGUGUCCUUAUUCGCGCAAGGGUUCAGUAAUAAUAGAUGCGAGCACGUGCACAAGUUAUGUGCCUUAUAUCGGGUACCAGGAAGGUUGUCUGUAUCUAAAGCGACAGCACGCCUAUACACACAGGUGCAGGUAGCCAUGUAUGUCUCAAAUAUUCAAGAAUGUUUCUUCUUUGUUUAUACAGACAAGCACAGCAUAAAUCUGAUUGUGGAAAAGGAUGAUGAAUUCCUUUCCCAAGUCAUUCCCCGACUGGAAUAUUUUUAUUUUAACGUGUACCGUAAAGAAUUGUUAAACAGCAGGUGUACAUAAUUUCUGGUUAUGAUUUGAUUUGGUUAUGGAACAUGUUCCGUGAACGUUUGUCCAGCACUGUACGGUAACAUGACAUUUCGUGAUGUCUCUGGCCAUGUUGUUCUUUACUUGUAGCUGAUGUUAUCCACAACCUUUGAAAGAAACAUUAAAUGGUGCAUAACGGUGAAGCACUAGCUCAUGUGUGAAGAAGUUUGAUACUGUUUUAUUUAAAGCAAAAUGUCGAGGCAUAAUGUGAUAUGACAAAAUAAACUCCCGGUACAUUGUACUACACAGUA
Long non-coding RNA from Ornithodoros turicata, 1513 nucleotides. RefSeq lists it as uncharacterized. The record is from RefSeq and is a predicted model, not a curated record. The transcript is spliced from 6 exons. NCBI's taxonomy places the organism in Eukaryota, Metazoa, Arthropoda, Arachnida, Ixodida, Argasidae.